GUAGGUGAACCUGCGGAAGGAUCAUUAACACGUUAAUUCGUUUUAUCGACCCAUUCUUAUUUUCCGUGAUUUAAAACCCGGCCUCCUGACCGAGUCUCGCAAGAGAUUCGUGCCAGGCGUCUUCAGGGCUCAUAGGACCUUCUUGUUGGAACGAUUGUCCGAGCGAAAUGCUCGUCUUUCUAGUACGAUGACCAGGACCUCCUGAAGGCGUUGCCAACCAACCCCAAACCCUUAAAUCUAAUUGAUCUGAACUUUUUAGUUGCUGCCGUUCAUUCGGCCAACGAUUAUAAACAAAACAACAACUCUUAACAACGGAUAUCUUGGUUCUC
RNAcentral lists this unclassified non-coding RNA (329 nucleotides) under rhizosphere metagenome. Its description in RNAcentral is "partial ribosomal RNA internal transcribed spacer region". The record is from RNAcentral.